This 256-nucleotide ribosomal RNA is filed under the name uncultured bacterium. RNAcentral's name for it is "partial 16S ribosomal RNA". It matches the Rfam family "Bacterial small subunit ribosomal RNA", at positions 521 to 776 of the family's 1533-position model. The record is from RNAcentral.
UAAUACGUAGGUGACGAGCGUUAUCCGGAUUUACUGGGCGUAAAGCGCUUGUAGGUGGCUUUGUAAGUUGGAUGUGAAAACUCUGGGCUUAACCCAGAGAGGCCGUCCAAUACUGCAGGGCUGGAGGAUGUCAGAGGAAGGUGGAAUUCCUGGUGUAGUAGUGAAAUGCGUAGAUAUCAGGAGGAACACCCGUGGCGAAGGCGGCCUUCUGGGGCAUUCCUGACACUGAGAAGCGAAAGCUAGGGGAGCAAACAGG